GCCGCUCUGGCGCAAUGGUAGCGCGCAAGACUUCUAUUGCUAUUCUAGGCAUGUGUAAAUCUUGAGGCUGUGGGUUCGAGCCCCACGAGUGGUU
Molecule: transfer RNA, 94 nt
Rfam family: tRNA
About the family: Transfer RNA (tRNA) molecules are approximately 80 nucleotides in length. Their secondary structure includes four short double-helical elements and three loops (D, anti-codon, and T loops).